Molecule: ribosomal RNA, 255 nt
Filed under: uncultured bacterium
Lineage: Bacteria
Description: partial 16S ribosomal RNA
Rfam family: Bacterial small subunit ribosomal RNA
Source: RNAcentral
UAAUACGUAGGGGGCUAGCGUUGUCCGGAUUUACUGGGCGUAAAGGGUGAGUAGGCGGUUGCAUAUGUCAGAUGUAAAAGGCACAGGCUUAACUUGUGUUAGCAUUUGAAACUGUGCGACUUGAGUGCAGGAGAGGUAAGUGGAAUUCCUAGUGUAGCGGUGAAAUGCGUAGAUAUUAGGAGGAACACCAGUGGCGAAGGCGACUUACUGGACUGUAACUGACGCUGAGUCACGAAAGCGUGGGUAGCAAACAGG